This 245-nucleotide ribosomal RNA is filed under the name uncultured Lachnospiraceae bacterium. RNAcentral's name for it is "partial 16S ribosomal RNA". It matches the Rfam family "Bacterial small subunit ribosomal RNA", at positions 524 to 768 of the family's 1533-position model. The record is from RNAcentral. Lineage: Bacteria; Bacillati; Bacillota; Clostridia; Lachnospirales; Lachnospiraceae.
UACGUAUGGUGCAAGCGUUAUCCGGAUUUACUGGGUGUAAAGGGAGCGCAGGCGGCGAGGCAAGCCUGAUGUGAAAACCCGGGGCUCAACUCCGGGAUUGCAUUGGGAACUGUUUUGCUAGAGUGUCGGAGAGGUAAGCGGAAUUCCUGGUGUAGCGGUGAAAUGCUUAGAUAUCAGGAGGAACACCGGUGGCGAAGGCGGCUUACUGGACGACUACUGACGCUGAGGCUCGAAAGCGUGGGGAG